GGCGCCCGUGAAUUGGCUUGGCGCGCCCAACAAAAAUCUUUUCCCCAUCUCACGCCCUCGGUUUAUCUUCUCCUCUGCCGCCCGCCGCCUACCAUGGUUCGGCGCCUCGCCUCCACGCCGGGGCCUCCCACACCGGCGCCUCCUCCGGUCUGGUGCCUCCUAGGGUCCGGACCCUGCACGGCUCCAUGCCUGCGCAUCUCGAAUGCGGGGCCUCCAUGCCGGCGCGACUAGGGUUUGGUCGCGCUGCACUGCCAACCACUACCUCCCCACACCGACGACACCCUCAGGCCCCUGUGCCCCACCCCUCGAAGCUCGACCCCGAGCGCUCCCUGGAACUCUUACCGCGAAUCCCUCUCGCUGGGGAGGUGGAUAUCCAUAGGUACGGCAAAAAAAGAAGAAGCUCUACGCGUCAAUUUCUCUAUUCCCGUUCCAAGGAUUCUUUGAUGGUGUAUUGUUCUCUUUAUCUCGUUCUGCUAGGUUUCGCCCACUGCUGGGGAAAUCCAGUCGCCUCAAGACACGAAUCUGUGAAGCAGGAUCUUGCUGCAAGUCUGAAUGUGCUGUGGUACUGAUCUGUUCCUAUAUUUCGUUUGAAGGAUCUCUACGAGUUAGUUGCAGUAGCUUUGUGCAAUUUGCAUUGAUGGUGUUUGAUAAAAGGCCUGUUUGAAGUGACUGAACCUGUCAGCGUCACCAUUGUUAGAAUAAUGGGCUGAAUUUCGAUGCAGCUAACUGCAUUCAGUCAGCCUUGUAUCCAUUUGCUUUUUAACUAUGUUAUUGUGCCCCAUGGACAGUUAUUCAUGCCAUGUACUGACAUUUAGAAUGUGCCAUACAUGGUUCCUGUACGAGAGUAUGAGAUAAUAUAUGCUCUGUUUACAAUGUUUCCUGAGAUGGCAAUAGAAGCACGGUCAUUCUAUUAGUGAUAUCACAACGAAUUGAAAGUUUGACCACUCGGUUAUUGUCUGUGUUAUCCUGUAUAGUAGUCAAAUGAGUGCAGUGCAUUGUUAAGUAGGAGUGGCUAGAUGGGACCAAAUUGUCCCCGCUAGUUCAGUUGGGGUUUCUAUAGAGCAGUAGAAGCUGAAUCUUCCUGUAGUUCUUUCAGCUAAAGUUUACUUACGCACUAACAUUCGCUUUAGUUUGCAUGCUUUGUUUCAACUGUUUAAUUGCUCGAAUGUCUGCUUUUACAACACUACGAUUCUUGAUCUGCAAUAGUCAUUCUGUUAGUGAUAGCAGGCUAUAAGAAAUUUCAGACUUGUGACAUGAAAAAAGUGAGACUGCUUAGCAAAAGUAUAACCUCAGUGAAAGAGUUAAAUUGUAGCUGCUGCAAUGCAUCCAUUUAAAAAUUUGGAUCAGAGGUCUACUUAACCACUUGCUUAUAUGAUCCACAGAUUAGAAAACUGUAGCUGCUAUUGAGCUCUUUUUUUUUGUGUUCUCUGUACUCAUCUGUAAUAUUUGCAUUAUCUGUACUCAUCUAAGAACCUGAAGAAUGCAAAUUGAAAGAGUGCAGAAAUGAGAGAAGCUCUAAGUCCUAUUCUGCUAAUUAAAUCAGAGAUUAGCCAGAGGUGAAGCCAGCCGAAAAUGGGAACGGGGUCUUUACUAUCGCAUGCUCAGAAGAUGCAAGGCCGUGAUGACGAAAAAGGGGUGUCCAGCGGGUCUGGGGACCAGUGAGCCAAUAGAGGUCUGCACCAAAAAGAAGGUGUUAAUCUGUGUGGACUCAUCCUCAUCUGAUGAGGCAGGUGCAUCCAUCGGCAAAAACCUCCACAAGGGAAAGAGCCCCCAAGCCACAUAUUUGGAGGCCUUUGACAAACAAAAGGUCUGCACCGAAAAGGUGUCGUGAUGAGGCAGGUGCAUCCAUCGGCAAAAAUCUCGAUAAUUAAGGGAAAGAGCCCCUAAGCCACAGCUCCGGGGACCUCUCACAAGAAAAAGGUUCUGAAAGGAAACUACAAGAUAUUGGCUAGCAAGGUUCAAUUCCUGAAGUACUCUGUUGAUGGAUUUCGUGAAGCGGUUGAAGAGCUGCAGUUCAACAUUGAUAUUUUGGAGGAGAAGGUGGACAAAAUGUACCAGGACGUGUAUUAGCUGCAGAUAGACGACCUUCGUGGAAAACUCAAUGCCGUCCUGAAGCAGCUGCCUGGUGCUAAGAAGGCGAAAUGAAGUGCAGCUAGGGAGUUUCUGCGUGGACAUAUCUACCUAGUUAUGGUGUAUCUAUCUCUAUAUUUGUAAUAACCUGUGGUUAGUUCUGGACUAUGGUUAGUUGUGGACAUAUCUACCUAGUUAAGGUGUAUCUAUAUCUAUCUCUAUAUAUAACGAGUCCGCGAUCUUGUUCAAGAAAA
This is an RNA transcript of Panicum virgatum (switchgrass), 2324 nucleotides long. RefSeq lists it as uncharacterized. Lineage: Eukaryota; Viridiplantae; Streptophyta; Magnoliopsida; Poales; Poaceae. The transcript has 6 exons. The record is from RefSeq and is a predicted model, not a curated record.